Molecule: ribosomal RNA, 497 nt
Filed under: uncultured bacterium
Lineage: Bacteria
Description: partial 16S ribosomal RNA
Rfam family: Bacterial small subunit ribosomal RNA
Source: RNAcentral
GAUGAACGCUGGCGGCGUGCCUAAUACAUGCAAGUCGAGCGAACAGAUAAGGAGCUUGCUCCUUUGACGUUAGCGGCGGACGGGUGAGUAACACGUGGGUAACCUACCUAUAAGACUGGGAUAACUUCGGGAAACCGGAGCUAAUACCGGAUAAUAUUUCGAACCGCAUGGUUCGAUAGUGAGAGAUGGUUUUGCUAUCACUUAUAGAUGGACCCGCGCCGUAUUAGCUAGUUGGUAAGGUAACGGCUUACCAAGGCGACGAUACGUAGCCGACCUGAGAGGGUGAUCGGCCACACUGGAACUGAGACACGGUCCAGACUCCUACGGGAGGCAGCAGUAGGGAAUCUUCCGCAAUGGGCGAAAGCCUGACGGAGCAACGCCGCGUGAGUGAUGAAGGUCUUCGGAUCGUAAAACUCUGUUAUUAGGGAAGAACAUACGUGUAAGUAACUGUGCACGUCUUGACGGUACCUAAUCAGAAAGCCACGGCUAACUACGUG